AAAGGACAAGGUAUGAUAAGGGCCGUUUCUGGCCCCCCUUUUUCCAGAAUUUUUAAACUUUGAAGUUGAAACCCAUCACGCCUGUGUAAUGAACUGCAAUAUCUGCUCGUCCAUGUAGAACCUUAUUUUUAGGUGUUAUGUACUCAAAUAUGUUCAAACUUGUAUCUUGAAAAGGCUUAAACGGCGAAAAAUGUAAAAAUUCUACAAUUUCGUCAUGUUCGGAGACAAAAUUUGACAUCAGCGCCAACGUAGACCAUCUUGAAAUUUUCAACCACCAACUGUACUCUUGUGUAUCUUUCACAUUAUAAAAUAUCAUGGUGGUCUACGUUGGCGCUCAUGUCUAAAAAUUUGAAAAAUAAUCCGAUUGUUUACAAUUUUGACAAGUCAUUAUCAUAAUACGUCAAAGUGAACGGCACGGGUACGAAAUUAUUCCGGGAUCCAUAAAUGUUCAGAAUAUCACGUACGGAUAGUUUUACGUCGUAUCCAGUCAUCAAGACAUGUCACUCUCUUAAAAAAAUAUGUUGUACGUGAAAUUAGACCCAUAUAAAUCAAAAUAGUCUAACACUGCAGCCAAAUACAGAGUAGUGUCCCUUGAAAUAUGGUGAAUUAAUUUUUAAUAAUUUUUAUUUUCAAAUAUUCAACGAAAUCUUACAAAUGAAUUUUAUAGUAAAUUCACAAUAUAUUCAAACUCUUUUUAUAGUUCUGGAGAAAAUCGUUUCAUCAAAACUUAUAUAUUUUGCACUUUGAAGUUUUCUAUUUAACCAUCUACAGAAAAAUAGAUUUAUGUAUCAUAUCUAUUUCGUUCAAAUCUCUGUGGUAAUAUUUAAAAUGUGCAAUAUAUCUAACAAAAAAAUAUGUCCAUUGUCCAUUAAAAAGUAGUUAUUGGAACAGAGAAAUAAGAAUAUUACAAUGAUUUGUUGAUAGACAACAGGCGCGGAU
This 939-nucleotide long non-coding RNA is filed under the name Mytilus galloprovincialis (Mediterranean mussel). The record is from RNAcentral. Lineage: Eukaryota; Metazoa; Mollusca; Bivalvia; Mytilida; Mytilidae.